This 253-nucleotide ribosomal RNA is filed under the name uncultured bacterium. Its description in RNAcentral is "partial 16S ribosomal RNA". It matches the Rfam family "Bacterial small subunit ribosomal RNA", at positions 524 to 776 of the family's 1533-position model. The record is from RNAcentral.
UACGGGGGGAGCAAGCGUUGUUCGGAUUUACUGGGCGUAAAGGGCGCGUAGGCGGCGUAACAAGUCACUUGUGAAAUCUCCGGGCUUAACCCGGAGCGGCCAAGUGAUACUGUUGUGCUAGAGUGCGGAAGGGGCUACUGGAAUUCUCGGUGUAGCGGUGAAAUACGUAGAUAUCGAGAGGAACACCUGCGGCGAAGGCGGGUAGCUGGGCCGACACUGACGCUGAGGCGCGAAAGCCAGGGGAGCGAACGGG